CCUACGGGAGGCAGCAGUGAGGAAUAUUGGUCAAUGGGCGCGAGCCUGAACCAGCCAAGUAGCGUGAAGGAUGACUGCCCUACGGGUUGUAAACUUCUUUUAUAAAGGAAUACAGUGAGGCACGUGUGCCUUUUUGUCUGUACUUUAUGAAUAAGGAUCGGCUAACUCCGUGCCAGCAGCCGCGGUAAUACGGAGGUUCCGAGCGUUUUCCGGAUUUAUUGGGUUUAAAGGGAGCGUAGAUGGGUUGUUAAGUCAGUUGUGAAAGUUUGCGGCUCAACCGUAAAAUUGCAAUUGAUACUGGCAGUCUUGAGUACAGUUGAGGUAGGCGGAAUUCGUGGUGUAGCGGUGAAAUGCUUAGAUAUCACGAAGAACUCCGAUGGCGAAGGCAGCCUACUAAACUGCCACUGACAUUGAUGCUCGAAAGUGUGGGUAUCAAACAGGAUUAGAUACCCGGGUAGUC
RNAcentral lists this ribosomal RNA (460 nucleotides) under uncultured bacterium. RNAcentral describes it as "partial 16S ribosomal RNA". It matches the Rfam family "Bacterial small subunit ribosomal RNA", at positions 338 to 795 of the family's 1533-position model. The record is from RNAcentral.